CUUGCCAGAGUGGAAAUAAUUCAUUUCAAGGUUCCUUCACACAGGGAAGUCUGAAGACAAAUCCGCAGCAGGUCUCAAGCACUGCCAGUGCUCCCCACUUCUACAUUUCACUGGUGAAGAGACAAAGCAGCGCUGUUUCCUGCAACUGCAUCUCUGUCCCUUUGCCUCUCCUUGGACUUGCCAACUGUGAAAAAUGGGAAUGCAGCUCCAUCCAUCCCCAGUGAGCCUGUGGGACUCAGAUUGUUAUAAACACAAUCAUAGAAUACCAGGGAUUGCAAAGACCAUCUAGUCCAACCUUUCUUGGUAAAAGCAGUGUCUGCAAUGGGCUAGUACGCUGUGCAGCUGAACCUUAGCAUCCAAAACUGGAGAAUCCACCAUCUCUCUGGGGAGGUUAUUCCAAUGGCUGCUGUCCUCCUUAUAAAAAAACUUCUUGUGCCCAACCAGAAUCUUCCCAGGAGUAACUUGGUGCCCAUCAUUUCUUGAGAUGACCCUCCCUUGAGACAGCACUGCUGAUAGGUACGCUCUGAGGUGAUCUGCUCUGAGACUAGGACUCAGCUGGCCUGCGGGAUUCUGGAAACGAUAUCGUGGGUCGGACUCAGUAAGAAGUCAAAGGUAUUUUGUUUUGCUCUCAUGCUUUAUUCUUAAGUACAUUCAAGAUCGUGAGACACUUUGACAUUGUGAUGGUACUGGAGUGCACUCAGCAUUGUACUGCUCGAGCACUCCACAAACUCAAAUGUGGCCAUCCACAGCUUACCCUCUGCUGGGGUUCUCCUGUUAACCUCAUUUCACUGACAGGAAACUGAGGGACAAAGGUUCAGAGCAAGAGCACCAAAGGUACUUGAGUAAAGAGUAGCUUUCAUCAUGGGUGGCUGGGGAAUGCAAAAGGCAAAGUUACAGCCACACAUGCUGCGCAUGUGAAGACAGGGAGAAACGCUGAGAGAGACGGACCCCAGCAGCCAAGCUGCCCAGCUGGCUCCUGUGGCUGUGGUAGCAGGAUGGGGGAUUUACUGACCAGUGCUUUCCCUCUGCACUCAGGUAGCUAUAUGGUCUCUGGGUACCAGGGGUUUUCUUUCUGGAUGAUGUUGUCACUGGAAACUGACAAAAGAAGGUAAGGCAGUGGUGUGCUUUCUGGAAGACCACAAAAAAGAUUCUUUUGAUGAAAACCUCAGUGACCACUCUCCGUAUCUUGACACAUCACUUAAAGUUAUGGUGGUACUUUGUGGAUUUGGCUGCAGAGGACUUGCCCAAAACUGCACAAAUCAUCAGCAAUGAAAGAGGCAUCUGAAACCCAGGCAUUCCAAACAUUAGAUUUGUGCCCUCAAUAUCGAAAUAGCUCUCUUCCAUCUGCUUGGACUCACGUGUAGCUAAAACAGGCUUUCUAAAUAAUGUCACAUUUGAUCAUCCUGGUCUAGACCUUAAGUCUAGAUCUACCAAGAAUGACCUGUGCCACCUCACCAUCCUAACGAAGGGAGAAUUCAUCUAUGAAAUGCAAGACAGCACAGAAAGGGGCAGGGCAGAACCUUAGAAUAAAAGAACAAGAAAUUCAAAUUAGGCUGAAGAAGGGAAAAAUUUCCAACAGAGAAAUUAACAAGCUUGCUUAAGAUAACAGGGAGAUAUGGUAAACCAGUUCUGCAAGGACUGAGAUAAUUUCAAUUUUCAUCACUUAAAAUUCCAGCCUACAGUCUCUGAUGAACUUCUUGUCAACACAGUAUGGGCUUGACAGCGCUGCUCUUGUUUAGGGUUGUUUUCUCUUCUUGGCUCAUAUAAAGUCCAGAGUAAUUUUCAGUCAUCUGUUCAGGACAGGGUUCAAAGCUCUGAUAUUAUUGUUAUUCUUUAUCUUCUUUCAGUCCACAUUGGUAUACAUUUCCUAUUUUCUCUCAGAAACAAAGCUGAAGAUCUACUUCAUUCAUUGCCUUUCAGAGAAAGAAUCAAAAUUGUCUCAUCACUAAGGUUAUACAGAAAAAGUCACACAAGGGCAUGCAAGUAAUGGCCUUGUGGCCCCCUCAGCAGUGCUGGAUCCACUAUUCAUGGAAGAUCAUGAAAAUGAUCCAGAGAUUAACUAGAGUAGUAUGCUUGUGAAGGUCUCCAGAUUGCACCCAUGUUAAAAACAGGAGUGGAGUUUGCCACAGCAAUUAACAUUCAGUAACAUUUCUGAACUGGUAGCAACGUUUGAACUUUCAGUGGUUAGCAGAUAGGCUAACAAAUAAACUGUGCUCCCUGCAUCACAAAUUUACAAUGUUUUACUCAAUAUCUGAGGUCAAGACCUUAAAAAGGCUGUGCUCUAUGAAAAGGCACAUACCUAGGAGGGAUCUGCAGUAAUCUCAUCAUUUCACUACUCUGAACUGCACAAGGUAGUCUCAGUUUCAUGAAAACCUUGUCUGGAAAUCAAAUAAAUUGCAAAGGUGUAGACAACUAACAAGAUAAAUAUUACACUAACAUUUUAUUGUGAGUUGCUAAUACACACAACACAGUGAGACUCUAAAACAGUGAUCCCAGUAUCUUUAUCAUAUAUUAACACAUUUCCCAUAAUACUCCUGCUCACUCAACCUGCCUUUUUACUGAAGUAACUUCAAUUAAAAACAAAUCCCUUUAAAACACUACUCCAGGAGGUACAGACUGAUAUAUUUGUCAUGAUAUUAAGAAGACCUGGAUACAAAAUACAGGGCUUCAUUUUCACAUGAGUAUGAAAGCAAACCAGAAUCAACACUGAACACUUGUUUGCUCAAUGACUGACCUAUGGCAGGAGGACCUGGGAACGUCCUUAACCUUCAGCAAGUUAAUAAACCAUCUGCUUAAUAAAGGUCACCCUCAGUGAACUGAAAAUCUACAGAAUUCAUUCUGAAAAGGUCCCACAAACAAAAAUAUUUUUUUUUAUGCUUAGCCUCUUGUCUGUAUAAGGUGCUUAAAAAUACAUGAACUUUAGAGAAAACACCUUCAUUUACUGAUAAGUUGCUGAAAUGAUGCAGUCUUGGUGUGUGCAAUUAGUUGAUAUUUUUUUUCCUUGAACCUCACGUCUGAAUUUAUCUAGUUUACUUUUCAAAGUAGUAACCUUAUUUAUUGCUGAAGAUGAAAACACUGAAAAUGCUGUGAAAUUAAAGACAAAUAUAUGCUAUGCUACUUUGUGAAAAAAACCCCCACCUUCCUUGGGAGUUACUGAUUAUUAGUCAUUGUUAAUUUUUAGAGUUCAACUCAACAGGAACUGGCUGUCAGUUUUGUACUUUUAACUGUUUGAGAACUUCACAGGGUCACCAAAAAACAGUUGGACUAAGUCUCUUUUUACUUCUGCUGGUAGACGUGAAUGCCAACAUGGAAGAGUAAUUUCUGACACUGCACUUUGUACUCUUUUCUGUCAAAGUCUCUCAUUAUUUUGACACAGAUAAUGGCUAAGUUUGUACUGUCUCAAGGCAACUACAACAAGGAGCCAUCUAGUAGUGUCAGGCCAUCCCCCAUAAACAUACCAAAACACACAGACAGUGCUGGUAGAAUGGUGACAGUCUGUUGAUAAAAAAUUUCGAAACUCCACAUCUAGCUUUAACUUGCAGACCUAUAAAUGCAAUUCCUAACAUGAACGUGACCAUAAACAAGUAUCACUGCCUUGGUGCAAGAGGUAAGAAAGGUCAAGACAAUUCUGCUCUCUAGGGAUCCAGAUGGAUGAAGGAGGGGGUUUCAAGAGUGCAGCCAGAGACAGCACAGAAGGUGAGGCUGUGCCCACACUCCAGGCCAGGAAUACAGGGUACAGGCAGACAAAGGCUGCUUUACCUGCUCGAGCAGCACAUGCCAAACAGCAUCCCUACAUUCUGUGAACUUCUAAGACUAUUAGCUCAGAUACAACUAUAUGCCACUACUUUGGUGAAACUCAUGAUACAAAGUGUCUUCAAAGACAAAUUAUGCCAAAUUUUUCAUCCUUGAUAAGUGCAGAAGUGUACCUGAACACUGGUGUUUAGCCUCCUCUCCCCUACUCUACCACACUUCUAAAGAUGCCACACUUAAACUUAUCCACUUCAUUUACUUCUGAAGCAAACUUUUUUUUUUUUCAUUUAUUUAAGCAGCGUAAAAGAGAAGGAAUUUUUAGCAAAGAAUACCUUGGUAAAGAAAUUGUCCUUAACUAAAACUAAGUAUCAUCACACAAAUAUUAAGGAAAAUAUAGAACACCACAAUCUAGUUCUACGAAGUGUGUUUCUUGCUAGGUUCACAGUAGGCGGGGUGGCAGACAUCUUCAUUUUCUACAGUAAUCAGAAACUAUGCCCCAAACAAGUGUGUUAAAGUAGUACUUCUUUCUUAUUUGCUCUGAUCAAUUUAACAAUUAUACUUCCAAAGUACAAUAUCCCCAAAAUCAUGUGGUUAUCAUUGCAAAAUUCCUAGAACUGAUGCAUCUACAAAUCCAUAUGCAAAAUGCGUAUUGCAUGUUUAUGAUAUAUAAUGCAUACUUCCUUCAUUUACAGUUACAAACAACAUAUGCAAGAAGAAACUGCUAAGCAAAAUAUAUCCUGAUAAUCAGACGACCAUGAAAGUUUAAGCCUGUUCAACAACUGACCUCUUUCGUAACACUGCUAGAAGCAUUAAUGAAAAUUUAAGUGUGAAAAAUGUACAUUCUUUAUUCUGUGGCUUAGAUACAGAAUAAAAUUUAACUUUUCAGAAAAUAAAACUAUAGCUACAACUUUGAGAGCUGUCAGUUUUCUUUUGAGGAUAAAGUACAUGCACUUUUUCCAGUUACUUUAUUGCACAUAAUGUACAGUCAUAAAUGGUGUUUAUUUACAUGUGUUUUGGCAAUGUCCAUGUUUGCUUUUCCCCUCAGAAUACAUUAUUUUGCACAAACAAAACCUUAAAUGUUUCAUACAAACUGCUAUAAUACAAGUCAAAGCAUAUAUACGUAUAUAUGUCGCUUUAUUGUUGCUGUAUUUUCAAUUAAUUCUACUAAGAGUUUCAGAUCUCAGUUAAUCUUUGCCUUGGGAGGCAGACUCCUCCCAGUUAGUCUGUUGUCAAAGACGGACACCCGAAUUGCAGGCACCAAGAAAUUAGGACUGCAGCCUGCUGUGCCUAAGCCCCAGCCCCUAUGCACCACCUGCAAUUAGUGCGCAGGCACAGAGAAGGAAGAGCACUGUACUUUCGUUAACCAGUUUGAUUCAACAUUGAUUACCACGUGUUAAUGUUAUGGGUCAUGUGUUAUUUGGACAGUAUUCCAUUAACGGUGUUUUAGAAAAAUGUAUCAAACAUAUUAAAACAAAACAGAAAUUCCCGUGACAGUUAUGUACUUCCAGCCCUAGGAAUGUGUUACUCAGAUUCCAUUCUGCAUAAUGUGCUAUUUCUGAUAACUGGUAUUUUUAUCCAGACACAAGGAACUCAAGUUUCAUAUACUCAUAAGUAUGUUUCCCCCAAGUUAAUUUCUUAAUGGAUGGUAACACACUUCAAUGUUUCCCUGCAUUUUCAGGGCAGAAAACCUUUUAGUGGUCCCCCUCAUGGAGUACAACCUGGCAAUAAACAUUUUGCUACAUGUAGUAACAGUUUUAAAAGGUAUGUUCAAAUAAAAGAUCAGUAUUGUCAGUAUACUGAACAUAUGCUCGUUAAAAAUAUCUUAAGGAUGUUCUUGAAAGGCACUUUAUAACAGGCACAAAAAUACUCUUGAAGAAACCAAAUUUGUAAUUUGGUACAACACUUAAGAUGUGAACAGCAUUGCUCAGAUUCUGCUUUGAAAGUCUAGAUUAUAUUUUUGUUUAUAUUCUCACCUACAAAAAAAAAAAAUAAAUUUACCCUAAGAUAAAACCCACUUUAUUGGAUCAAAGAGCAAUUACCUAAUUGUCUUGAAUGUAUGAUCUUUCAAACAUUAAGACAAUUUAAUCUCAGAAUGAUAAGAAAAAGAAGCUAACUUCAUUGAUUUAGCAAUAUUGAAGUCAUCCUCAAAUUCGGUGAUAAAAACAGUUCGUACCUUUCCUGUAAGCAGGCAAAGUAUAAAAUAGUUAAAUUUUCAGACAGGCACUCAGGUAAAUUGAGAAAUACCUUUGGUGGGCAACAAUAAUGAAUAUAUUAUUUUUAUUUUAGUUUUCCUACUUUUUUCUGUCCUUUAGCUUUAAAAUACUACAAAAUUUACAGCAACUUCGACUACUGCAUAUACUGAAGAAUGAGAUGAAAAUGCACUGUGGACAAAGUAUAACAGUAGUUAACAUCUAUUGAUAAAAACUCAAAAUAAUAAAAAUAUUACAGAAAAGCAGUAGUUCUGGAAAUAGAAGUAUUCUUCAAUAGAAAACAUUAAAGUUUUUUUCCAUCUGAAUAGUUUCACCUAUACUGGACAGAGUACUUCAUCAAACUACAUAUGCACCUCUGAUAAAAUUCUUUAAGAGUAUAAAUUAUUUGCUCUGUAAUGACACUUGUUCCAUUAUCCAGUCAAAAGGUCCUGAUACUAUCUGUUAUAAAUAUCUAAUAUUUUUAUCAUCUGCCUGUGGCUGAGUUUUAGGACAGCAAUAUGAUCUGUUUAAUUAAAAAAGAAAAUUCUGCACAAGUGAAACUAUUCAGAAUGAAUUAGUACUUCAUCUCUACCUAAAAUUUUUCUAAAACAAAGAACUACGUGCCAUUAGAAAACUAACAAAUGUCAUCAAAACUAGACUAUUUUUCUCCAUAAAAUAAAGAUGCAUAAAAUUUUAAUUACUAGCAAUACUGUGAGAACUCUAUUUAAAAAGGUUUAUAUUGCAUGUAUUUCAAGAUAAAUAGUUUGAAAUGUCAUAAAUUAAAGGAGGAAUUUGAACAGAUGCAGUUUCCUCAUCUGAAUUUUUACUAUCUACAGGAAAAAAAUGGACUUUCAGGAAGAAAACUGUUGACAUCUGAAAAGUUACCUACAUUGAGGAUCUCCCUCAACAUUAGUGGUAAUUACUGCCCACUUGGUUACAAAUGCAGAACUACCUGGGAAAUGUAAAGGAGCCUCACAGCGUAGUUCUAAGAAAGGGGAAGCAUAUCUGUAAAAAUAUUUGCAUAGAUGUACAUUCAAAACAGCAUUUCCACCAUUUCAAUUCCCUGCAUUCAUGUUGCUCCAGUCAUCCACAGGGAUAAAGAUCACAUAAAGGCAGCUCUGGAAUUUGAAAUGGAUGUUGCUUGGCAAUUUAGUGAAACGUGUAUUUUUGUACUUUCUGCAGUCACUAGGAAAAGAUUCAGUUUGACCUUUGGCUUACAGAAGUUGUACUUCCCUGAGCAAGGCAAUACUGAUAGGCUACAGCAGAAGUACCAAAAAUAAAGUUAUUUGAAACAGCGUGGUAUAAAUAAGGCACUUUUGCCAAAGGAAAGCCCCAGGUUUUGUGUAUCAAUGUACAGCAAUUCUAUCCAGAAAUAUUCUGUGCUUAGAAACGUCACAUGAUGCAACAGUGAAUCAGGUGCCAAAACCAACAAAUCACAAAUUACUGUGCGAUUAACUGCAACCUCUGAAUGGUUCAACAAAGAAUCAAACUGGUUUCUGUACACCGUCAUGAUUUACCAAUACACUGGCAUCUUUUGCUCUUUUGCUGUGAGCCAACAAGAAUUAUUUUAGAGAAAGAAAAAGAAAAGUGUGGAAUUAGUAAUGCAGAUGCUGAAAGGCAAGUGGCAAGACUCUACAAGAAGAAUGCCUCAAAAAUGCUACUUUGUUCCCAUUUCUACUGGCACCUAUUCCCCAAGGUAAAAGGCCAGAAUGACCAAAGCCAACUUAAUAGUAGUGUGCAGAAUGUCAGCUGACAAACAACAUAAAAACAAGUCACGUUGUGUUAUCUGUGGUCACGUUCUUCAGGGUUAGUCCAGUAACUCAACUUUACAUUCUUCCGUCUUUAUUUGUUUAUUUUAAUUAAACAUGUAAUGGUUAAUAAACAGACAUAAUCCAGAGUUAGUAGGUUGGUAUUAUAACAUUUAUUAAAAUAAUGCUAUGGGUUAAUAGAAACAGCAAAGAACCAAAGAAUUAAAAUGCAAGCUAUGUAAAAACCCAACUAAAACCCAAAUAUGUCUAAUGUAUUCAUCCAGUAGCUAACUAAAAGCCCAAGAAAGACAACACUCCCAAUAUAAUAAAGUACUGCAAAACAAUUGGCAAUUUUUCAGUUAUCAAAAUCGUGGGUUUUGCAUUUUGUAUCCUUUUUUCUCAAUCAGGAAAAAAAUUCUUUUGAAUGUUAUAUAACAUACAUAUAAAACAAGAUAGAAAAAUACAUUAUAAACUUGUAACAAUGGCUGUAAAUACAUUAUCUUACAUGUUUCUCAUAGGCAAUAGGUUGGUUAUGGUACAUACAUAGCAUGAAACUACUAAGAUAAUAAAGAAUAGACAAAUACAUGUCAUCUGUACGGUUACAUACAAGCGACACUCCCAUCUACCCACUCUAAAAAAAUUACAUAAUACUGUCAGAAAGAAGUCUUAAAACUACUUAUUUUAAUAAAGAAAAAGUCAUUAAAGAAUGAUAAUACUGAGAACCAAGGCAUUCAGAGAUUUCAAAAGUCAUGCUUUUUUUAAGCUGAUCCAAAAUUUUGUCAACUAAGUUUUCAGAAGUUUGUUCAGAGCAAACAUUACUUUCACAUGUCACACAUCUAUUCCAUACACUUCCCCUCCCCCCCAGUAAAAGACCUUUGAUAAAUGUUUAAAAUGUCCAGGUUUUAUCAUAGUUGAGAUGAAACUGGAUCAAAUACUGGUAUUGUUUUAGCAAAUCUCUCUUCAAAUGUUCGAGUGUCGCAAGUUUAUUCAACCAACCAACCAAAAUAAAAUCAAAAUGGCACAGCAUAUAUUGUAAAUAAAAUCAACACAACUUUAUGUGUAACAGGAAGACAAAGCUGGUGGCACAAUAAACAAAAAUCUAGCUGAAUACGAAAGGAUGAAUGUCUAUUGCAUAGUAAAUAAACUGAUAAUUAUUUCCAGGUGAGACAAGAUGUUAGAUGAGGUCACCAUGCAGGUGCUUAAAAAUGUAAGCCCUCUUAGCUUACAAUUGACCUUUCAUUUGGAAGCUGUGAAGAUUUGCAGGAGGAGAAUAAGUUGACAAGAGGGGAGUAAAAUUAUCACCUGAUAUUUGCCAAGUUUAGUACUGAGCCCCACAAUGUAACACUUAAUGUUUUUGAGAAUACUGUGCGUUCAGCAGCUUCAGCUCUUGCAAUUGCCCAGCUAUUCAAACCUCAUGUGGAAACAAGGGUUAAAAAUAAGGUAUAGCUGGACUUCAAAUGGCUGAAGUCCCUCUCCUGCUUAUCUUUUCAAGAAAAGCCAAUGGGCCAGAUCUAACAAUAGUCAAAGACGAGCUGAAAAGUAAGUAAUUUCCGUGCUGUUUGCCACUGCAGGAGCUGUUUGUGGAAACUGGGGAUGUGCUCAGUCACUGACUGAAAACUCACUAAGCACUUUCAGUUUCGUUACCUGCAGAACAUCCAUUUUCUGGGUGAUGCCGAAGCCUACUACAGUUGAUGUAAUAUUUAUUUCAACCAGAAUCAAGAAAACUCCUCUCCAUCCCUGAACAAAAAUGACGUAACUUCCAGCUCUACAAACAUUUGUCAGCUAAUAAUCUCCUUUAGCAUGAGACAGUCUGUAUCACAGAACCCUUUGGUUUACGUUGCACAAGUACGGCAGUUGCUAUGAUUUAAAAAGUAGAGUGGCUGAAAUAAUAAUGGGCUGGUUUGAUGAAAACUUAGCAAAUACUUCACUUAAUGAGAUUUUGGCAAAGUCACAUCACACUUGUAUGGCAAAAAUCAGGUAAU
Molecule: long non-coding RNA, 9669 nt
Organism: Onychostruthus taczanowskii (white-rumped snowfinch)
Lineage: Eukaryota; Metazoa; Chordata; Aves; Passeriformes; Passeridae
Exons: 2
Source: RefSeq, a predicted model, not a curated record